Hibiscus syriacus is the source of this 750-nucleotide long non-coding RNA. RefSeq lists it as uncharacterized. The transcript is spliced from 4 exons. Lineage: Eukaryota; Viridiplantae; Streptophyta; Magnoliopsida; Malvales; Malvaceae. The record is from RefSeq and is a predicted model, not a curated record.
CCCCCUUUCUUUGCAACUCUCCUUCUCCCCCAUUCACUUCUAAUCAUCCUCCGUUCUUUCUGAAAUUGCUUAUCUUAUGUUUUUGACUCUGAGUUUCCUUUUGAGAAAGUACCCUACUCUUCACUGCUUGAUUUCAUUUUGUUUCUAAUAAACCUUAAAUCUAGCCCAUUAAAAGCUCAAAAAUCCUAAAUUGAAAACCCUAAAACAAUUUAGGGUUUUGAGUUACUUCUGAAAUUGAAGACUGGCAUUUCAAAUCAAACACGUACAAAAGGAAUAAUAUUCGAGGCAGCACUUUUGAGAGGUUUGUGUGGAGUCCACCCAUAAAAUGAAUGCUCUGUUCUGCUAUUGCGAAUUCCAUUUUCGAAGGGAUUGAUCGAAGAAGUGCAGCUGCUGUUGCCAAAUGUGGAACACAGAUUCUGUGCCAGGCAUAUGUAUGCUAAUUGGAAAAAAUCACAUAAAGGUGGUGACCUACAGUUGCUGUUCUGGGCGUGUUGCAAGUCUACUACUGAAGCACAAUUUCAUAGAAAUGCUUCAAGAAUUGGUUACGAGUCAAGGUGGUCAAACUGCAUCUGCUCACCCAAUGCAUAGUGUCUCUUCUCGACAAAUUCAAGUGUUGUUAUGUUAUUGAUAAUUUUCUAUGUGAUUGAUAUAUUAAAAAUUCAUGAAAUAGUGACUAUAAGUUUUUGUUAUGUUAUUGAUAUAUUGAAACUAAAAGUGGUAAAAAAAAUAGCAUGGAUUGGAUAGACCAAA